GACGAACGCUGGCGGCGUGCUUAACACAUGCAAGUCGAACGGAAAGGCCCUGCUUUUGUGGGGUGCUCGAUUGGCGAACGUGUGUGUAACACGUUAGUAACCUGCCCUUGACUUUGGGAUAACUUCAGGAAACUGGUGCUAAUACCGGAUAGGAUCUCCUGCUGCAUGGUGGGGGUUGGAUAGUUUCGGCGGUUGGGGAUGGACUCGCGGCUUAUCAUCUUGUUGGUGGGGUAGUGGCUUACCAAGGCUUUGACGGGUAGCCGGCCUGAGAGGGUGACCGGCCACAAUGGGACUGAGAUACGGCACAGAAUCCUACGGGAGGCAGCAGUGGGGAAUAUUGCACAAUGGGCGGAAGCCUGAUGCAGCAACGCAGCGUGCGGGAUGACGGCCGUCGGGUUGUAAAACGAUUUCGCAUGUGACGAAGCGUGAGUGACGGUAAUGGGUAAAGAAGCACCGGCUAACUACGUG
Molecule: ribosomal RNA, 468 nt
Filed under: uncultured bacterium
Lineage: Bacteria
Description: partial 16S ribosomal RNA
Rfam family: Bacterial small subunit ribosomal RNA
Source: RNAcentral